RNAcentral lists this ribosomal RNA (422 nucleotides) under uncultured bacterium. RNAcentral describes it as "bacterial SSU rRNA". It matches the Rfam family "Bacterial small subunit ribosomal RNA", at positions 355 to 774 of the family's 1533-position model. The record is from RNAcentral.
UAAGGAAUAUUGGUCAAUGGAGGAAACUCUGAACCAGCCAUGCCGCGUGGAGGAUGAAGGUCCUCUGGAUUGUAAACUUCUUUUAUAUGGGACGAAAAAGGGACUUUCUAGUUCAACUGACGGUACCAUAUGAAUAAGCACCGGCUAACUCCGUGCCAGCAGCCGCGGUAAUACGGAGGGUGCAAGCGUUAUCCGGAUUCACUGGGUUUAAAGGGAGCGUAGGUGGGUUGGUAAGUCAGAGGUGAAAUCUCCGAGCUUAACUCGGAAACUGCCUUUGAUACUAUCAGUCUUGAAUAUUGUGGAGGUUAGCGGAAUAUGUCAUGUAGCGGUGAAAUGCUUAGAUAUGACAUAGAACACCAAUUGCGAAGGCAGCUGGCUACACAUAUAUUGACACUGAGGCACGAAAGCGUGGGGAUCAAACA